Drosophila mauritiana is the source of this 11521-nucleotide RNA transcript. It is a transcript of the gene named zinc finger protein 2, with no coding region annotated. The transcript has 14 exons. The record is from RefSeq and is a predicted model, not a curated record. NCBI's taxonomy places the organism in Eukaryota, Metazoa, Arthropoda, Insecta, Diptera, Drosophilidae.
GUCGAAAAAAAACGUUGAAUGAGUCAGAUGCGGGUCGGAUGGUGCCGCAGGCUAAUUAUCUCGCCCAAAUCCACAAGCGCUCGAUUCAAAAGUUCCUAUAAUAUUUAAGCCUAAAGAUAAAACAUAACAUAGUACAAACUAUCGCCGCUAACUUAAAGUAAUUCACGAUUGAACUAGCUAAUAACCCAACUUACUCCAAGUCUAAACGCACGGAAACAUAAGUGCAAAAACAAAAUCAGCAAGCAGAAAUCGAAUGCCCUUAUUUAAAGGAUCAGCAUUCCAUUCGUCGAAUGGCUUAAGGAUUCAACUUUUCAUAAGCACCUCAGAAAACUCCUAGUCUGGUAAGGGGUGACUAUGCGAUUGACUCAAUAAAUUGGUCCAAUAAUGGUAAUGACGACGGCUCUCCAAUGUCCAGUUCUGAUGUGGAAACUUUUAAUGGGAAAAUAGUUUACAAUCUUGAUGGCAGCGCACACAUCAUCGCCACAGAUAAUACCAAUGGAGGUGGAUCAGGGUCUGGCCAAAAUUGUUAUGGUUCAGCAUCGAAUUCACUAAAGAACCUGUCAAAGGCUAAAGAUCGAAGGCAGGAAGAGAUAGAUAUAGAACACCCGUCCCAGUAUCAUCUAGAGCAAAGCGAGAACAAGAGGCAGGAGGAAGCUGUGGAUACUCGUCCUGGUUUCGAAUCCUUAGGAGGCGCUUGCCACAAAUCAAGUCCAAAAAUCCAUUCCUUUCGUGUGGUGUCCGCACAAGAUGCUAACUCAACUUGUCAGGAUCAAAUCAGAGCAUUUAAAAUCCAGAAACCAAUUUUAAUGUGUUUUAUAUGCAAGUUGUCUUUCGGCAACGUUAAGUCCUUUAGCUUGCAUGCAAACACUGAACACCGACUCAAUUUGGAAGAGCUGGACCAGCAGCUACUUAAUCGCGAGUACUCCAGUGCCAUUAUACAAAGAAAUAUGGAUGAAAAGCCACAGAUAUCCUUUCUACAGCCCUUGGGUAAUAAUGACGCCUCUGCUGAUAGCAAUGAUACCGAGAAGCUUCAAACAGCAACUGAGGGCAGUGACGCCACUCUGCCUUCGUCUCCGCACCCAGUUAUCAGGAAUGACUCUGAACUUGAGCCCGAAAAUAAGCAAGAGACUGAGCAGAAUCGGCUCCUGAACCAGGACCGGGAGCAAGAGUCUGAAUCAGAUCAGCACACUAGUAGUAGUAAAAUGGCGGCACCUAGUGCAUAUAUCCCAUUAUCAUCGCCCAAAGUAGCGGGAAAAUUAACUGUGAAAUUUGGUUCCUUAAACUCAGCAACAGCAAAGACUAAUAACCUAUCAAAAGUUUCCUCAACCAGUUCACCACCAUCGACAUACGCAUCCGGGGAAGUCUUAUCACCCAGUACUGAUAAUAUAAGUAACCAUAAGUCAACACAUUGCAACCAAGAAACAGAGCCACCCUCGUCGUCUUCGUCAGAGGUGGAAAUGAAGAUUGGCUCUAUGUCCACAUCACCUCAAACAAAUGAUUCGGAUGUUCCAUGCUCAGGUUUUUUGCAAAUGCAGCACAUGACAACAGGUGGUGCAUAUACUCCUCAAGUCAGUUCCUUCCAUGCAUCUUUAGCUGCGCUGGCCGCCAACGAAUCAAAUGACAACCGGGUUAAGCUGAUCACAGAGUUCCUUCAACAACAGCUGCAGCAACAUCAGAGUUCCUUAUUUCCAAGCCCAUGUCCCGAUCACCCCGACCUCAAUGGUGUGGACUGCAAAACCUGCGAACUCCUUGACAUCCAGCAGCGGUCAAAGUCACCGUCUUCUUCACAUCACCAGUUUUCUCAAUCUCUUCCCCAGCUGCAAAUUCAGUCGCAGCCCCAGCAAACCCCACAUCGCUCACCUUGCAGCAACAGUGUUACCCUGGCCGUAUCACCAAGCGCCUCCUCGGUGGCCAGCGCUGGAAAUGCGUCGACCGCCACAUCCAGCUUUACAAUCGGCGCCUGUUCCGAGCACAUCAAUGGUCGUCCCCAAGGAGUAGACUGUGCGCGCUGUGAAAUGCUUCUAAACUCGGCUCGAUUAAAUAGCGGCGUGCAAAUGUCCACUCGCAAUUCCUGCAAGACUCUUAAAUGCCCCCAAUGCAAUUGGCACUAUAAAUAUCAGGAAACUUUGGAGAUCCACAUGAGGGAGAAACAUCCAGAUGGGGAGAGUGCUUGUGGUUAUUGCCUUGCAGGACAACAGCAUCCUCGGCUGGCACGGGGGGAAUCCUACUCUUGCGGUUAUAAACCGUACCGCUGUGAAAUCUGUAACUACUCCACGACCACCAAGGGUAAUCUUUCCAUUCAUAUGCAAUCGGACAAACAUCUGAACAAUAUGCAGGAGCUAAACAGCUCUCAAAAUAUGGUUGCAGCUGCGGCUGCUGCAGCGGUGACUGGCAAACUGCUGCUGUCCAGCUCCUCGCCCCAAGUAACCGCUGCAGGUUCAUCCAACAGCGGGUCUGGCGCAGGCAGUGGCUCAUCCAACAUUGUCGGCGGCACCACAUCCCUGAGCGGAAGCGCAACGCCUUCCGCAACUGGAGCAAAUAGUUCCAAUGCCAAUGCCGGAAGCAAUACAAACAACGCCGGUACCAAGCCAAAGCCUUCAUUUCGAUGCGACAUCUGCAGCUAUGAUACUUCCGUGGCCCGCAACCUGCGCAUCCACAUGACCAGCGAGAAACACACCCACAACAUGGCAGUGCUUCAGAAUAAUAUCAAGCACAUCCAGGCAUUUAAUUUCUUACAGCAACAGCAACAGAGCGGCACUGGGAAUAUUGCUGGCCACAGCUCCGGAACCUUUAUGCCCGAGGUGGCUCUGGCUGAUCUCGCGUACAACCAGGCCCUUAUGAUCCAGCUUCUUCACCAACAGCAACAACAUCAGCAGUCAGCUAAUACCAAACUAUCGCCGUCGUCUUCGCCCGUGAGCACUCCUGAUCAGUUUUCCUUUUCUCCCAAGCCAAUAAAGCUCAAUCAUGGAACAGGAGCUGCCAUGGGGAUAGGAAUGGCAAUGGGAAUGGGAAUGAGCCACUCAAACGAAGUGUCCGGCGAAUUAUCAGGGGAUCCUCACCCGCUAACAAAAACGGAUAAAUGGCCCACGGCUUUCUACAGCUGCCUAAUCUGCGAUUGCUUCAGUACGAACAACCUGGACGAUCUGAACCAGCAUUUGCUGCUAGAUCGAUCCCGACAAUCCUCCAGCGCAUCCUCCGAAAUAAUGGUUAUUCACAAUAACAACUAUAUAUGCCGGCUGUGCAACUACAAGACGAAUCUCAAGGCAAAUUUCCAACUACACAGCAAGACGGACAAGCACUUGCAGAAGCUCAACUUUAUCAACCACAUCAGAGAGGGCGGUCCCCGGAACGAGUAUAAAAUGCAGUAUCAGCAGCAGCUUGCCGCAAAUGUAGUGCAACUUAAGUGCAACUGCUGCGACUUCCACACAAAUUCUAUCCAGAAGCUGGGUCUGCACACACAACAGAUGCGUCACGACACAAUGCGAAUGAUAUUUCAGCAUUUACUGUACAUUGUUCAGCAAAGUGAAAUGCACAAUAAGUCGUCGGGUUCUGCUGAAGAAGAUCCUCAAUGCGCCUGCCCGGAUGAAGAUCAGCAAGUGCAGUUGCAGUCGUCCAAAAAACUGCUCCUGUGUCAGCUGUGCAACUUCACCGCUCAGAACAUCCAUGAAAUGGUACAGCAUGUGAAAGGAAUAAGACACUUGCAAGUCGAGCAAUUUAUCUGUUUGCAGCGUCGCAGUGAGAACAAAGAAAUACCCGCACUGAACGAAGUAUUCAAAGUGACGGAAUGGGUCAUGGAAAACGAAGAUGUUUCUUUCGCAUCUGGCCUAAAUUUGGCUAGAACCGCAUCCAAUGAUGCAACGGAUGCCAGCUAUGCUGCGGCAUCAUCUGCGGCAGCUCCGGCCAUUCCAGAUGUCAGUAUGUUUUCACCAACAUCUCCCUCAAGUUGCGCAACAUCUUGCGAUAAGAAUUUGAGUCAAAUUGUAUCGCCAAACGUAAAUAAACUUGGUUCAGGCGUCCCUACAACAGUAUUCAAGUGUAAUCUCUGCGAAUACUUCGUCCAAUCUAAAAGCGAAAUUGCGUCUCAUAUUGAGACUGAGCACUCAUGUGCUGAGAGUGAUGAAUUUAUAACUAUACCAACCAACACGGCUGCCCUGCAGGCUUUCCAAACAGCUGUGGCUGCAGCUGCUCUAGCUGCCGUGCAUCAAAGAUGCGCUGUUAUAAAUCCACCGAUACAGGAGACCGUCGAUGAAGACAAGGACUUAGAUACGAAUGUCAGUGACGCUCCUCUGGGCAUAAAACAAGAGCGCGUCGAACAGGAAGUUGAUCGCACGACAUCAAUGGAGGAUAUUAAAGACUUGGCCUCCCAAGCGACAGAAUCUGGAGCUCCAGAGUCGCCAAAAGUUGCAGAAACUGAAGUUGGGGUACAGUGUCCGCUUUGCCUCGAGAACCAUUUCCGGGAAAAACAGUACUUGGAGGACCAUUUAACAAGCGUUCAUAGCGUUACAAGAGAUGGCCUCUCCCGGCUCUUACUUCUGGUGGAUCAGAAAGCUUUGAAAAAAGAGAGCACAGAUAUAGCAUGCCCUACAGACAAAGCUCCAUACGCAAAUACGAAUGCGCCCGAGAGAGCACCAUCCCCUAUUGAAAACACCUGCAACGUUAGCCUUAUCAAAUCAACCUCAGCUAACCCAAGCCAGUCAGUGAGCUUGCAAGGACUAUCUUGCCAGCAAUGUGAGGCAAGCUUCAAGCACGAGGAACAGCUACUUAAGCAUGCCCAACAGAAUCAGCACUUUCCUUUGCAAAACGGGGAGUAUUUGUGUCUUGCAGCCAGCCACGUUAGCCGUCCUUGCUUCAUGAGUUUCAGAACCAUUCCAGCUAUGAUCAGCCACUUUCAAGACAUGCACAUCAGCCUGAUUAUCUCGGAGCGCCAUGUCUACAAGUAUCGUUGCAAACAGUGCUCCUUAGCAUUUAAAACACAGGAAAAACUUACCACGCAUAUGCUCUACCAUUCGAUGCGGGAUGCUACAAAGUGCUCCUUUUGCCAACGUAACUUUCGCAGUACACAGGCGCUUCAGAAACACAUGGAGCAAGCACACGCUGAGGAUGGAACCCCAUCAACAAGGACAAACAGUCCGCAGACGCCGAUGUUAAGUACUGAGGAGACUAACAAGCAUCUUUUAGCGGAGUCCCAUGCAGGAGAAAGAGAAGUUUCAGGGAGUGAUGUCUCGCCAAUUGAACUGGAGGCGCACCUAAACAAAGAAACUAGACAUUUGUCACCUACUCCAAUGUCUCUCGAUUCCCAAUCACAUCAACAAUACCUCGCGACUUUCGCUGCUUUGCUCAAACAACAGCAGUGUAACUCAGAUGCUGGAGGCCUUCAUCCCGAAACGCUGUCUAUGUCCACUGGAGAGAUGCCCCCUCAAUUGCAGGGUCUACAAAAUCUUCAGCAUAUACAACAGCAUUUCGGAGCAGUUGCUGCCGCAUCGGGUCUUCCAAUUAACCCGGUCGAUAUGCUUAAUAUAAUGCAAUUUCACCACUUGAUGUCCCUCAACUUCAUGAACUUAGCACCGCCCCUAGUAUUCGGCGCCAAUGCUGCAGGCAAUGCAGUAUCUGGGUCAUCAGCGCAAAAUAACAGCAUUACAACCGCCACCGCAACAUCUGCUUCACUGGGUGAUACACAUCUUACCACUGGUGUCAGCUCUUUACCGGUAGAUUCGGGGAAAGCUACCGCAGUUCCACCUCAAACUCAGCUCAAUGCGAACGCAAACUCUCAGCAGCUGGCCAGCAACCAAAAACGAGCUCGAACGCGUAUUACAGAUGAUCAGCUUAAAAUAUUGCGGGCCCAUUUCGAUAUAAAUAAUUCGCCAAGCGAAGAGAGCAUUAUGGAGAUGUCUCAGAAAGCAAAUCUACCAAUGAAGGUGGUUAAACAUUGGUUCCGGAACACGCUAUUUAAGGAAAGACAACGUAAUAAGGACUCUCCUUAUAAUUUUAAUAAUCCACCAUCGACUACUCUGAAUUUAGAAGAGUAUGAACGUACAGGACAAGCCAAAGUUACCCCUUUAAAUGAUACUUGUAGCGUCGCAGUAACAGGACCAAUGACUUCAUCAACUAUUUCAUUACCACCAUCUGGUAGUACCAAUUUAAGCUCUAAAGAAAACGCAACUUCAAAAGUACUAGCGGCGGGAAAAGCUAACGCAUCAGGGCCUGUUACAUUUACUGCAACUGUUCCAGUUUCAACACCGUUAUCUCGUCCAGAAUCGACGAACUCAAGCGGCAAUAUAUCCGACUAUAUAGGCAAUAAUAUAUUUUUCGGACAGCUCGGGAGCAAGGACCAAAUCUUGCCGUACUCUUUAGACGGGCAAAUAAAGUCAGAGCCGCAGGAUGAUGUGAUUGGGGCAACUGAUUUUGCAUACCAAACAAAGCAGCAUUCAAAUUUUAGCUUUUUAAAACAGCAACAGGAUCUAGUGGAUCCCCCAGAACAGUGCUUGACAAAUCAAAACGCGGAUACGGUACAGGACCAAUCCUUGCUAGCGGGUUCGGCUCUUGCAUCCAAUUGUCAGAGUCAACAGCAAAUAAAUAUAUUUGAAACUAAAUCAGAAAGUGGGAGUUCCGAUGUACUGUCACGCCCUCCGUCUCCGAAUAGUGGAGCUGCCGGAAAUAUGUAUGGCAGCAUGAAUGAUUUAAUAAACCAGCAAUUGGAGAAUAUGGGUAGUAACAUGGGACCACCAAAAAAAAUGCAGAUUGUUGGAAAAACUUUUGAAAAGAACGUAGCUCCAAUGGUGACCUCAGGCAGUGUUAGUACUCAGUUCGAAAGCAACUCUUCAAACUCUUCGAGCUCCUCAUCGUCUACAUCAGGUGGCAAGCGAGCUAAUCGGACUCGUUUUACAGACUACCAAAUAAAGGUUUUGCAGGAGUUCUUCGAGAACAACUCAUAUCCAAAGGACAGCGAUCUCGAGUAUUUAAGCAAGCUUUUGUUACUGUCUCCCCGGGUUAUAGUAGUUUGGUUUCAAAACGCCAGACAAAAGCAACGUAAGAUUUAUGAAAACCAGCCGAACAAUACCCUGUUUGAAAAUGAGGAGACGAAAAAGCAAAACAUUAACUAUGCGUGCAAAAAGUGUAACUUGGUAUUUCAAAGGUACUACGAGCUAAUACGGCAUCAGAAAAAUCACUGCUUCAAAGAGGAGAAUAAUAAAAAGUCUGCCAAGGCACAAAUCGCUGCAGCUCAAAUCGCGCAGAAUUUGAGCUCGGAGGAUUCUAAUUCUUCCAUGGAUAUACACCAUGUCGGAAUUUGUCCACCAGGCUCAGCAGUUGUUUCGCAAACCCUGUCAACGCCGGGCUCGGCAGCUCCCCUUUCGGGACAGUACACCCAGCAUUCAUUUGGCGCACUGCCCUCGCCACAGCAUUUGUUUGCAAAGUCUUCUUCGCUUACUGACUUCAGUCCAUCCACGACCCCCACGCCGCCGCAACGAGAACGCAGCAACAGUUUAGAUCACCCUCAACGACCUCCCAAGUUUGAUUGCGACAAAUGCGAGCUGAAAUUUAACCAAUCGGAAAAAUUGCGAGAGCAUCAACUAUUACACCUGAUGAAUCCAGGAAACAUUUUUUCAGACGCAAGUCAGAACUCUAACCCUGAAGCCAAUUUCGGUCCCUUUGGCAGCAUUUUGCAAAGUCUACAACAAGCGGCGGCUCAACAGCAGCAGCUACAGCAUCAACCGCCGCCAACAAAAAAACGGAAAUACUCGGACUGCUCUUCCAAUGCAGAUGAAAUGCAGUCCCUGUCGGAGCUUGAGGCUUCACAAAAAAAGCACGAGUUCCUGUACAAGUAUUUUAUGCAGAAUGAAACGAGCCAAGAGGUAAAACAGCAGUUCCUCAUGCAACAACAACAAAAGAAAUUAGAACAAGGAAACGACUGCGAUUUUGAACUUGAUUUCCUAACUAACUUCUAUCAGCAGAGCGAAUUAAAAAAAGUCAGUAACUAUGACUUUUUACUACAGUACUAUCGCACACAUGAAGAGGCAAAAUCCAGCCAACAGCAUCUAUUUAGCUCCAGUAAAAAGCCUACCAUCGAGUUUCUACUUCAGUACUACCAACUUAAUGAGUCGAAAAAGUUUUUUCAGUUAGUUGCCUCGCCCCAAAUAAUUCCUGAUGUCCCAGGCUACAAGCCAUCCUCGCGAAUGCCAAAAUCCACUUCGGAUGAAGCCCCUUAUAUUGGAGAAACAUCAUUGGAGCAGGCAACAGAACUACAAAGAGAGAAACAAGAUGAACAACUACGCAUAGACAGGCCAAGCGAAGAAAACGAGUUAUCUAUGAACAAAAACAAAGUGGAAAAUAUUAAUAACAACAAUAUUGGCAUUCAUGUGGGCCAAAGCAAUUUAACCGCGACGAACGGCAUCCCUUCAGUUGAAACAAAAGACGAGUGUACGCAGGAAUCGUCAUUAAUUGCGAUGGAUGAUGAAAACAAGUAUCUAUGCGCGAGAUCCAAACAAAAAGAUGACAAGGAAAAGUCGCACUACUUACAUAAUCUUGAGGACUUCCUGGAUGCCACAAUGAUAGAGAACAACUCCCAGACUUUAACAUUUAAUGAUGACGAGAAAGCAUGCCAAAAAGAUGAACUUACUCAAAAUUCCAAUGCAAUUGAGAAGCGGUCCUCUGUGUCUCCGGUUAACGUUUCAUCCAAGCAAAAUAAGCGCUUACGAACAACCAUCCUUCCGGAGCAAUUGAACUUUUUGUAUGAAUGUUAUCAAUCCGAAUCAAAUCCAAGCAGAAAAAUGCUUGAAGAGAUAUCUAAGAAAGUUAACUUAAAGAAACGCGUAGUUCAAGUCUGGUUUCAAAAUUCACGGGCAAAAGACAAAAAAUCGCGGAAUCAGCGACAUUAUGCACACAUAUCUGACGAUAAUAGCUACGAUGGCUCUAGCGGGAAGGAGGCUUAUAGCGACCUAAGGUCCAACGGCAUAACCGUGGAUACGGACCUCGAAACAAAUCUACAGGACUGUCAGCUGUGUCAAGUCACCCAAGUCAACAUCCGAAAGCAUGCUUUUAGUGUCGAGCACAUUAGCAAAAUGAAGAAAUUGCUCGAACAAACCACCGAGCUCUAUGCACAGAGCAAUGGCAGUGGAAGCGAGGACAACGAUUCUGACAGGGAAAAACGAUUUUAUAACUUAUCAAAGGCAUUUUUGUUCCAACACGUUGUGACAAACGCGACAAGCCACUCUAUUCACACAGCUAGACAAGAUUCUGAUGCUAUUGCCGAAGGGAACUGUAUGCUUAACUAUGACACUAAUGGUGGCGAUUCCAAGAGUCAUGUCCAGCAUAAUUUACCUAACGAAGUCGUUUCUGAAGAUACGCGAAAAAUCGCUGGUAAUCAGGAACUUAUGCAGCAGCUUUUUAACCGAAACCAUAUCACCGUUAUAGGUGGAAAGUAAAUCUGAGUGUUUAUAUGGCCUUAUAACCGUGGAUAGUGGUUAAAAUGUAGACUACAGAAGGAAAAGUAUUUGCACACGCGAAAUAUGCGUACACUACGAAAAUACAAAAAAAACCAACCAUACUACGAAAACUGAAAUGUUCCUAUUUUAAAGAGUUUACAAAAACAUUGACAUUCCAUCAAUCUACAGAUAUAUGUAUUGAAUUCUUGCGAAAACCUAUUCCAACAUUAGUAAGAAUCUCUUAAUUAUACGGAAGUGUUCCUAACUAUUCGAAAUAUAAAUUAGCAAUAAACUUAAGGUAUACACAUGCACACUUGAGGCAAUCCUUAACAAUUCAAGAUGGAGGGCGUUAUCUUGAUAAGUUAAAAUAACAAGUCGCUCCAAACAAAAAUAUGAUAUCAUAUAGAUACAUAUAUAAUGGAUUAGAUUUAGUGAAAUGUAAACUGAGUUCCUAGCAUUUGAUUGCUUUUGCCUUUGUUUUUAUAUUAGAAUGUAGCCAAUGAAUACUAAGAUCUGCUUCAGUAUGCCGACUAUAAAAGCUGAAAUAUAUACAUACGUGGUUCCUAUUUUAUUUAGAAACACUGUACAAUAUUAAAGAAAUUCAUAUUAUUUACGUCAUUCUUAUACUGAGAGAAUCGUGCCAAUAAUUUGUUCUUCAAAAAAUUCAAAUUCCGUAUGAAAAGAAAAAGGGAGAGCAGAGAGAAAAGGAAAGGGGCUUUAGUUAAAUCAUGAAUUUUGUUUCGACCUAUAUCACAGUUUCCUUGUUAAGUAAUUAUUAUGACGUAUUAAGCAAUUCAUUCACAGUUAAAAACUUAUUAAAUAAAUAUUUAUUUCCAAUCAUUCUUUGUUUAUAACUUAAGUUUAAUAAACUAACUUCUGGGAGUAACAGGAGUUACUAUUUCACAAUUGUAUAACUUUUUCUCAAAUCUUCCAAUACAAAACAUAGAAUUUAAAGCAAAAACUCAGCUUGUUUGGUACGUUUACUUACAUGUAUAAUUUUAAAAUGUUCCUUGUCAUUGUAACUAUUAAUAAUUUGAAAGGACAAAUUUAGACCAUAAACAGUUACAACAUUUUUAAACAAAAUAGUAUUUGACUGAUAAUUAAAAUUAAAAUAUACAGCCCUAUAUUUAUUUGAUUUUAUUCUGCAUUACGUACAUUUAUACGUACUAGUACUCGUUUAUGUAUAAGUUCAUUGUUAACCGCAACUAAAUAUAACAUAUGUUGCGAAACAUAAGAAUCUACUAAGAAGUUCCUAUAGAAUUUAAUAAAAAGAUAUACAAAUAUAUUUACUUGUAAGUUCAGGAAUACUAUAUAUGACAAGAUUUUCUGUUCAUCUCACCAUUAAUUAGCGACAGGCAAUUUAUGUAAAAAUAAUGCCGUAUGUCCAUUCUAAUAUUAGAAUAUUGCAAAUAUGUGAAUGUUUGAAAUCCCAUAAUCAGUUUGUAAAAGAAUUAUUUAAAUACAUAUGUACGUACUUAAGCCUUCACAAUUGCCAACAAGCACAGAUUUGCAUAAAUGGACACAAUACCAUACUAACACCCGAUAACAUAUAUAUAUAUAGAUAUAUAUAUAUAUUAUUUAUAUAAUAUAUUUUACACAUUAUAUAUAUUUAUAUAUGUUUUCCAAAUUUGUGACUUCGAAAUAAUCGAUUUGAGUUUUUUUAAACAAUCUUAUUCAAAAUAUGAAUUCCAUAGGCAACACCAAAAUAAUAUGAGAUUUUAAGAUGAUAUCAAAACUUACAUUGCUCAACUGAUAGACACCACACAUACCGAUGUAUGUACGUAUAAAUAUACAACAUAUCACAAAUAUUACUAAAAAAAACUUAACAACUAUUAUUUUCCCUUUGAAAAAUUUUUUAAGUCAGACAUUACAAGCAUAUUUAUUAUUUUUUUACAAAUUGGGCAUAUAUUUUGUGUGUUCGGAAAUACUAAACACAUUUUGCACAAUCGUAUGCUCUUAGUUUCUCAAUUGAAAUAAUAUUUACCAUAUGACAACAAAUGUUUCUUAUAUUUAGUAUAAGUAAACAAAAGCGAAUAAGUAAUUUUAUUGUCAACUUAUUAAUUAAUCAAAGUUACUACAAAUACUGGUAAAACUUACAAAAG